This 287-nucleotide ribosomal RNA is filed under the name uncultured bacterium. RNAcentral describes it as "partial 16S ribosomal RNA". It matches the Rfam family "Bacterial small subunit ribosomal RNA", at positions 70 to 354 of the family's 1533-position model. The record is from RNAcentral.
CGGGGAGCGUUCGCGCUUCCGCCGGCGACCGGCGCACGGGUGAGUAACACGUAUGGAACCUGCCCGCAGCAGGGGGAUAAUCGGGGGAAACCCCGUCUAAUACCGCGUAACGACCCGGAGGGGCAUCCCUUCGGGUCCAAAGGUUUACCGGCUGCGGAUGGCCAUGCGUCGCAUUAGCUUGUUGGCGGGGUAACGGCCCACCAAGACGACGAUGCGUAGGGGUUCUGAGAGGAAGGUCCCCCACACUGGUACUGAGACACGGACCAGACUCCUACGGGAGGCAGCAG